GAGAUUAGCUUGCUUUAUCUGUCAGCUAAGUGGCGCACGGGUGAGUAAUGUAUAGAUAACCUGCCCUCUAGAAAGGAAUAACAGUUGGAAACGACUGCUAAUGCCCUAUAUGCCUUUAAUACAUAAGUAUGCAAGGGAAACGCUUUAGUGCUAGAGGAUGGGUCUGUAUGGUAUCAGCUAGUUGGUGAGGUAAUGGCUCACCAAGGCUAUGACGCCUAACUGGUUUGAGAGGAUGAUCAGUCACACUGGAACUGAGACACGGUCCAGACUCCUACGGGAGGCAGCAGUGGGGAAUAUUGCACAAUGGACGAAAGUCUGAUGCAGCAACGCCGCGUGGAGGAUGACACAUUUCGGUGCGUAAACUCCUUUUAUAUAGGAAGAUAAUGACGGUACUAUAUGAAUAAGCACCGGCUAACUCCGUGCCAGCAGCCGCGGUAAUACGGAGGGUGCAAGCGUUACUCGGAAUCACUGGGCGUAAAGAGCGUGUAGGCGGGUAUAUAAGUCAGAAGUGAAAUCCUAUAGCUUAACUAUAGAACUGCUUUUGAAACUGUAUACCUAGAAUGUGGGAGAGGUA
RNAcentral lists this ribosomal RNA (574 nucleotides) under uncultured Arcobacter sp. RNAcentral's name for it is "bacterial SSU rRNA". It matches the Rfam family "Bacterial small subunit ribosomal RNA", at positions 68 to 659 of the family's 1533-position model. Lineage: Bacteria; Pseudomonadati; Campylobacterota; Epsilonproteobacteria; Campylobacterales; Arcobacteraceae. The record is from RNAcentral.